GACGAACGCUGGCGGCGUGCCUAAUACAUGCAAGUAGAACGCUGAAGAGAGGAGCUUGCUCUUCUUGGAUGAGUUGCGAACGGGUGAGUAACGCGUAGGUAACCUGCCUGGUAGCGGGGGAUAACUAUUGGAAACGAUAGCUAAUACCGCAUAAAAUUGAUUAUUGCAUGAUAAUUAAUUGAAAGAUGCAACUGCAUCACUACCAGAUGGACCUGCGUUGUAUUAGCUAGUUGGUGAGGUAACGGCUCACCAAGGCGACGAUACAUAGCCGACCUGAGAGGGUGAUCGGCCACACUGGGACUGAGACACGGCCCAGACUCCUACGGGAGGCAGCAGUAGGGAAUCUUCGGCAAUGGGGGGAACCCUGACCGAGCAACGCCGCGUGAGUGAAGAAGGUUUUCGGAUCGUAAAGCUCUGUUGUAAGAGAAGAACGGGUGUGAGAGUGGAAAGUUCACACUGUGACGGUAGCUUACCAGAAAGGGACGGCUAACUACGUG
RNAcentral lists this ribosomal RNA (497 nucleotides) under uncultured bacterium. RNAcentral describes it as "partial 16S ribosomal RNA". It matches the Rfam family "Bacterial small subunit ribosomal RNA", at positions 28 to 507 of the family's 1533-position model. The record is from RNAcentral.